RNAcentral lists this ribosomal RNA (440 nucleotides) under uncultured bacterium. RNAcentral's name for it is "partial 16S ribosomal RNA". It matches the Rfam family "Bacterial small subunit ribosomal RNA", at positions 338 to 795 of the family's 1533-position model. The record is from RNAcentral.
CCUACGGGGGGCAGCAGUGGGGGAUAUUGCACAAUGGGGGGAACCCUGAUGCAGCGACGCCGCGUGGGUGAAGAAGUGCCUCGGCGUGUAAAGCUCUGUCAGCAGGGAAGAAAAUGACGGUACCUGAAGAAGAAGCCCCGGCUAACUACGUGCCAGCAGCCGCGGUAAUACGUAGGGGGCAAGCGUUAUCCGGAUUUACUGGGUGUAAAGGGGGCGCAGACGGCAGUGCAAGCCUGGAGUGAAAGCCCGGGGCCCAACCCCGGAACUGCGCUGGGAACUGGGCGGCGUGAGUGCAGGAGGGGCAGGCGGAAUUCGUGGUGUAGCGGUGAAAUGCGUAGAUAUCAGGAGGAACACCGGUGGCGAAGGCGGCCUGCUGGACUGCAACUGACGUUGAGGCUCGAAAGCGUGGGGAGCAAACAGGAUUAGAUACCCUUGUAGUC